AGCGGAAAUUAUGCGACGGUAGGUGCUGCUAAUCUAUUUUCACGAUGGAAGGUUUUGCGAUGCGCUGGAAUAUAUUACGGCCCAUUGUCGUAUGUCCCAAAAAGGAAGCAUACUCAUAAAAGUUAAAAUAACUUUAUCCCGAAUAGAAUAGAAUUAUUUUAUUGUCACAUUUUCUUGCACAACGAAAUUUGCAGAACACUUUGCGCUACUCAAGGUUUUACAAACAUUUAAAACUAAAAGGCUCCUGUGCUUGGCUAAAUAGUCAAUUUAGCAGUCAAAUUGAGCCCGGGCUCAAUUUGUGCUGCAUUGUGUCUCAUUAUACCAUAUUAUGUUACUUGUAGUUUUAUAAAUAGCAUAUCUUACCAUGAGUAACAUUGUUUCAUUGUCCAAGAAGCUCUGUUUUAUAUGGUGCUAUUACUUUGCUGCUAAAUUUAUAUUUUGACAGACGGGCUCGUCUUGUCAUAUUUAUUAGCUUAUGCUUUCGAUCUAUAAGUAAUUCAUCACUUUUGAUCUAAGCGAAGUAAUCUUCUUCUGUAUCCUAUGAGGUUCAUUCAAGUUUGCUGAUAUUACAUUAGAAUUAGUUCAUUCUCUGCCCUAUUGGGUGUGAAAUCAUUCGGCUCAAAAUCAUAGGCAGUCGGGUUGCAAGGGUACGCAAGUAAACAACAUUCAAAAGAACAAAAUUAAGAUUUCAUUAAACCAUUAGCAUGAAAAAUUGUCUGUUAAUGUUGAAAUGUGAAAACAUAAGGCUUUGAGCCGAAAGUUUAGGAUGCUUCGCACACACCUUGCAACUCGUGGUGAAUGCGGGACUGUUAUCGCAACGUAGUGUUAGUGAUGCAGUGGUUGCUGGAAGAAAAAUAAUGGGCACUUCAGGCACUUUCCACUUGCAUAUUCAAGUUUGGAGGACAUUCAAAUGGAGCUCAAUAUUGCAACGAAGCAUCUCAUACAAGAUGUGUGAACAUGGUGGAAUAGCACACAUUAUAUGAUCAAGAGCCUUAUAGCUCAAAAAUGAGCCUUGUGUACAUAUUCUGCAGAGCAUAAACUGCCAGCCACACUGUGUGCACCUCAGUGGGGGUUACUUGAAAAGAUCAGCUCUGGCCCCUUUUGAGGAGUUCACAAGGGUGGUAAGCUCCUCAUGGUCAUCUGCAUCUGAAGUUAUCCCCAUCGCUUGUGUCCUUAAGCGCGUUCUGUCUCAAUGAAACAAAAGUGACGAGGGAAUAAGGACGAUGAAGAGCACCCUUCUCAAGGCUGUUAACAGACGCUUCAAAGAUGUAGAAUCUGAGCCAGCAGAUGGGACAUCUUGUGAAUCAGCUGCUGUGGAACCAGCAAGCAAGACUCCACAGAAGGGAACUGCAAGCCACAGCAGACUUGAAAGUAUAUUUGAUGAAAUCCUGCAGGAAAGCUCUGCAGAGCCGGCUCCUCAGUUAACCACCACAAGUGCAUGUAUUGAAGUGCAAACCUACCUCAGUGAGCCAACUACAGUAUUCAGCACUCACACAAUCCACUGCUGUGCUGGCAAGUCAACCAGCCUAGAUUACCCACUCUGGUUUGUACAGCAGCUAAAUUUCUUUGUGCACCUUCAACAAGUGAGAGCGAGAGGCUCUUCAGUACAGCCUCCAUCAUUAUUGAUGAAAGGAGAAGCAGGCUGACAGCUGAGAAGGCUGAAAUGCUGAUCUCUCUAAAGAAAAACCUACCCCUUAUGUUAAAGUGAAGCAAGAAAAGAGUUGUUAAGAAAAUGACAUUCCACUUUGCACUUGUCUUCAAGAUUUUUUGGAUGGUGCUGAUCCGUCAAAUGCUGCUAAAACUGAGGACAUUUAACUAAAAAGAAGCAGUGUUACUAAACUACGUUCUCUGUUUUCCUUCCUUAUUAUAUCACAGGUAUGAUUUUUGUAUUUGUGUUAAGGUAUACAGAAUGUAUCUGGACAUUUUUUAAAGCAUUAUUUUUUGUUUUCUGAUUAAAAAAAAGACUCAGAGACUGUAUUGGAUUUGUAUCGUAUCGACAGAUAUCCAAAUUUACAAUAUCGGUAUUGGACAUAAAAAAGUGGUAUCAUGCCAUGUCUAGUAUCAGUCAGGAGGUACACAUUUUUUUCCACGGCAUUAGAUUUACCAUGGAACACAUUCUAACAGGGGCGUGUAAAUUCGACUUAAAGACAGACUUGGAGAAUGGAUCUUGUUCAUAACCUGGAGACAUCCUGUAAAUGGAAUUUAUGUGCAAAUUAUUUUAUUAGCUCAAUUAGUCAAAACGGUACAUGUUUAUCGUCCAAAGAAUACCCCAGCAAAACAAAAUAAUUACAUUUUAGGAGGAUGUAGUAGUGAACCACUUUAUACCACACCUCUGGUGUAGUAGUUUCGGGCACGAUGACACACACAGAUUUAUUAAGUAUACAAUGCAUACAUUUUUAUUUAUUUAUCCUACACCAAUAAAAAGAUAGUCUAACAUUUUACCAAAUAUCUUAAAAUUUGUGUAGACUAGUGUUGCACAGGAUAGCAGUACUGAAAAGAUAUUGUGGUAUUACAUUUUUAAAAUCUGUUCGGUAUUACAUUUCUUUAGUACCGAUACUAAUUCCACUAUUACGGACAUCGCUUACGCUAUAUAGCGCUAUCCAUUGAAUCAGAACCAUGGACUCAGUGUGUCUGAACCAUUGCCAACACUCAGUUAUACCCUAUAUAAGAAUUGCACGCAUCAUGCAAUAUAGAAUACUAAGAUGUCAGCUUUAAAUAUGAUCUCCCUAGCUUCAAGUCAGUGAUUUAUGUUUGGGAUCUUAUGAUAUGACUAGCAAGAUCUUGUUAUAUAAUAAACAUUCUACGUUACCAUCAUCAAACUAGCAUUUGUAGCUACAGGUUAUUAUGCUAUGCUGUGUUUUAAACAGUUAGAUAAUCCAGCCUAAUGCACUGCAUGGGAAGUUUUUUCGUUUAUUGAGCAGUUAAAUGGAAGAAAACAGAAGAAACUGUUGUAACCUUUUUGGGGGCUUAUAUAAUCUGUGCUAUUUUUAAUUUUUUUUACAGUGGAGAGUAAUCGUGAUGAGUUUGGUCAUGGACGAAAUAUGUUUUGCAUGCUUGCCUGUUUUUAUUUUCAUUCAUUAGCACAGGGCCCCCUCAAAAUCCUUAAAAUGAAAAUGACGGAAUCUGCACAGCCUGAUCUGACCGGUUCCUUCCAGGUUCAGUUAAUAAACUUAGCACAAAAAGUAAGGACAUUUGUGUUUGGUCGGUCAUUUCUUUGUUGUGACAAUGCUUCUUGGGAAUAAACCUUAUACCGUUGGAAAGCCU
Molecule: non-coding RNA, 3264 nt
Organism: Paramormyrops kingsleyae
Lineage: Eukaryota; Metazoa; Chordata; Actinopteri; Osteoglossiformes; Mormyridae
Source: RefSeq, a predicted model, not a curated record